Molecule: ribosomal RNA, 810 nt
Filed under: Providencia rettgeri
Lineage: Bacteria; Pseudomonadati; Pseudomonadota; Gammaproteobacteria; Enterobacterales; Morganellaceae
Description: partial 23S ribosomal RNA
Rfam family: Bacterial large subunit ribosomal RNA
Source: RNAcentral
CCUAAAUACUCCCUAGUGACCGAUAGUGAACCAGUACCGUGAGGGAAAGGUGAAAAGCACCCCGGGAGGGGAGUGAAAUAGAACCUGAAACCGUGCGCCUACAACAAGUUCGAGCCCGUUAAUGGGUGAGAGCGUGCCUUUUGUAGAAUGAACCGGCGAGUUACGUUAUGAUGCGAGGUUAAGUUGAAGAGACGGAGCCGUAGGGAAACCGAGUCUGAAUAGGGCGCCUUAGUAUCAUGACGUAGACCCGAAACCAUGUGACCUACCCAUGAGCAGGUUGAAGGUGCGGUAAGACGCACUGGAGGACCGAACCAGGGCACGUUGAAAAGUGCUUGGAUGACUUGUGGGUAGCGGAGAAAUUCCAAACGAACUUGGAGAUAGCUGGUUCUCUCCGAAAUAGCUUUAGGGCUAGCGUCGACAUUAGAGAUUCUUGGAGGUAGAGCACUGUUUGGGUGAGGGGUCCAUCCCUGAUUACCAAUCUCAGAUAAACUCCGAAUGCCAAUGAAUUAUGGUCGGCAGUCAGACUGCGAGUGCUAAGAUCCGUAGUCGAAAGGGAAACAGCCCAGACCACCAGCUAAGGUCCCAAAAUAAUUGUUAAGUGGAAAAGGAUGUGGGGUUGCACAGACAACUAGGAUGUUAGCUUAGAAGCAGCUAUUCAUUCAAAGAGUGCGUAAUAGCUCACUAGUCGAGUGACCCUGCGCCGAAAAUGUACCGGGGCUAAAACAAUUUACCGAAGCUGUGGAUACCUUUAUAGGUAUGGUAGGAGAGCGUUCUAUGUGUGAUGAAGGUAUACCGUGAGGAGUGCUGGAA